RNAcentral lists this ribosomal RNA (123 nucleotides) under Petromyzon marinus (sea lamprey). Lineage: Eukaryota; Metazoa; Chordata; Hyperoartia; Petromyzontiformes; Petromyzontidae. The record is from RNAcentral.
AUCUAUGACCAAAUCACCCUGAAUGUGCUGAAUGUCAUGAUAACUCAAAAGCUAAGUAGGGUUUAGCCUGGGUAGUACUUGUAUGGGUGGAAACUAAAGCAUGCCAGAACUAGGCGUGGGGUU